Molecule: unclassified non-coding RNA, 333 nt
Filed under: soil metagenome
Description: partial contains 5.8S ribosomal RNA, internal transcribed spacer 2, and large subunit ribosomal RNA
Rfam family: 5.8S ribosomal RNA (bases 1-121)
Source: RNAcentral
GAUGAAGAACGCAGCGAAAUGCGAUAAGUAAUGCGAAUUGCAGAAUUUCCGUGAGUCAUCGAAUCUUUGAACGCACAUUGCGCCCACUGGUAUUCUGGCGGGCAUGCCUGUUCGAGCGUCAUUUCAACCAUCAAGCCCUAGGCUUGCGUUGGAGCCCUGCGGCUGCCGCAGGCUCCCAAAUCCAGUGGCGGGCUCGUCGUCGUACCGAGUGCAGUAAACAUCCUCGCUCAGGGAACGUGACGGGUUCUUGCCGUGAAACCCCCCACAUAUCAAGGUUGACCUCGGAUCAGGUAGGAAUACCCGCUGAACUUAAGCAUAUCAAUAAGCGGAGGA